This 341-nucleotide ribosomal RNA is filed under the name uncultured bacterium. Its description in RNAcentral is "bacterial SSU rRNA". It matches the Rfam family "Bacterial small subunit ribosomal RNA", at positions 28 to 373 of the family's 1533-position model. The record is from RNAcentral.
GACGAACGCUGGCGGCAUGGCUAAAACAUGCAAGUCGAACGGCAAAGUCGUAGCAAUACGGCGAGUAAGUGGCGUAAGGGUGAGUAAUACGUUUCUAUGUACCCCGAGGUCAGGGAUAGCCCAGGGAAACCUGGGGUAGACCUGAUGCGGUCACCAUGUCAAAGUGGUGAUCAAAGGCUUGCCGCCUUGGGAGGCAGGGAACGUCCUAUCAGGUAGUUGGUGAGGUAACGGCUCACCAAGCCGAAGACGGGUAGCGGGUGUGAGAGCAUGGCCCGCCACAUCGGGACUGAGACACUGCCCGGACUCCUACGGGAGGCUGCAGUAACGAAUCUUCCGCAAUG